AUCUUUGUCACGGUUUUAGGUUUCCAAACAAGAUGUUUUCGAACUGAUUGUGAGGAAUUAAUAGGGAAUUCGGUGUGAAUCCGAAACUGUAUCUGCAGCUGUAACCCUUGCCAAAGCUGUUUCAAAAAGUCACUGUUGGUGCAUUACCGAUGGGAAGACGAAACAGAACUGAGGGGAGUCAGAAUACCUGCCAAAACUUGUUUGAAUGA
This 209-nucleotide non-coding RNA is filed under the name Fluviicola sp. The record is from RNAcentral. Lineage: Bacteria; Pseudomonadati; Bacteroidota; Flavobacteriia; Flavobacteriales; Crocinitomicaceae.